Molecule: long non-coding RNA, 328 nt
Organism: Tarenaya hassleriana
Lineage: Eukaryota; Viridiplantae; Streptophyta; Magnoliopsida; Brassicales; Cleomaceae
Exons: 2
Source: RefSeq, a predicted model, not a curated record
UUUUCAAAGUUUCUACAAGAUCUCCCGAAGUCUCGAAGCCGUGCCCUAAUGUCUUCUUCUCUUCAUGCAGACACAUUUGCCCAUAAGCUUUAUAACACCUAGUCACCAUUGGUGAGGAAGCCAGAGGAUAAAAAUCCGAAAGUGUCCACAAGUUUUUUGCAUACGCAGCCCAGGAAGUGACUGACGAUAAGACCCCGCGUGUUGUGGAGAUUCAACAGCGGAUUGGAAUAAUCUUGAUCGUCGAAUUUUGUAUAUUUCAUGAUCAUGUGAAUAUGACAUCUGGUGGAAACCGCUCGAAGUUUCCUUUACGUGUUUAUGCCCCAAUCUC